RNAcentral lists this ribosomal RNA (425 nucleotides) under Reticulitermes tibialis. RNAcentral describes it as "partial 16S ribosomal RNA". It matches the Rfam family "Bacterial large subunit ribosomal RNA", at positions 1797 to 2485 of the family's 2925-position model. Lineage: Eukaryota; Metazoa; Arthropoda; Insecta; Blattodea; Rhinotermitidae. The record is from RNAcentral.
CGCCUGUUUAUCAAAAACAUCUUUUCUCGUUAGUUUUUGAAGUAUGGCCUGCCCACUGACUUUUAUGUUGAAGGGCCGCGGUAUUUUGACCGUGCAAAGGUAGCAUAGUCAUUAGUUCUUUAAUUGUGAUCUGGUAUGAAUGGCUUGACGAGGCAUGGGCUGUCUUAAUUUUGAAUUGUUUAUUGAAUUUGGUCUUUGAGUUAAAAUUCUUAGAUGUUUUUAUGGGACGAGAAGACCCUAUAGAGUUUAACAUUUAUUAUGGUCCUUUUCUGUUUGUGAGGGUUCACUGGGCCGUAUAGUAUGUUUUGUUGGGGUGAUGGGAGGGAUUUAUUUAACCCCUCCUUUAGGUUGUUAUAUUUAUUUAUAUUUACUUGAUCCAUUUAUUUUGAUUGUAAGAUUAAAUUACCUUAGGGAUAACAGCGUAA